UACGUAGGGGGCAAGCGUUGUCCGGAAUCAUUGGGCGUAAAGAGCGUGUAGGCGGCCCGGUAAGUCCGCUGUGAAAGUCCAGGGCUCAACCCUGGGAUGCCGGUGGAAACUGUCGAGCUAGAGUCCGGAAGAGGCGAGUGGAAUUCCUGGUGUAGCGGUGAAAUGCGCAGAUAUCAGGAGGAACACCAAUGGCGAAGGCAGCUCGCUGGGACGGUACUGACGCUGAGACGCGAAAGCGUGGGGAGCAAACAGG
This 253-nucleotide ribosomal RNA is filed under the name uncultured bacterium. Its description in RNAcentral is "partial 16S ribosomal RNA". It matches the Rfam family "Bacterial small subunit ribosomal RNA", at positions 524 to 776 of the family's 1533-position model. The record is from RNAcentral.